Molecule: ribosomal RNA, 368 nt
Filed under: Salmonella enterica
Lineage: Bacteria; Pseudomonadati; Pseudomonadota; Gammaproteobacteria; Enterobacterales; Enterobacteriaceae
Also listed under: 2 other names
Description: bacterial SSU rRNA
Rfam family: Bacterial small subunit ribosomal RNA
Source: RNAcentral
CCGGGCUCAACCUGGGAACUGCAUUCGAAACUGGCAGGCUUGAGUCUUGUAGAGGGGGGUAGAAUUCCAGGUGUAGCGGUGAAAUGCGUAGAGAUCUGGAGGAAUACCGGUGGCGAAGGCGGCCCCCUGGACAAAGACUGACGCUCAGGUGCGAAAGCGUGGGGAGCAAACAGGAUUAGAUACCCUGGUAGUCCACGCCGUAAACGAUGUCUACUUGGAGGUUGUGCCCUUGAGGCGUGGCUUCCGGAGCUAACGCGUUAAGUAGACCGCCUGGGGAGUACGGCCGCAAGGUUAAAACUCAAAUGAAUUGACGGGGGCCCGCACAAGCGGUGGAGCAUGUGGUUUAAUUCGAUGCAACGCGAAGAACC